AUUGAACGCUGGCGGCAGGCUUAACACAUGCAAGUCGAGCGGUAACAGAGAUAGCUUGCUAUCUGCUGACGAGCGGCGGACGGGUGAGUAACGCGUAGGAAACUACCCGGUAGUGGGGGACAACCAUUGGAAACGAUGGCUAAUACCGCAUACGCUCUACGGAGGAAAGGGGGCUUCGGCUCUCGCUAUCGGAUGUGCCUGCGUGAGAUUAGCUAGUUGGUGGGGUAAAGGCCUACCAAGGCGACGAUCUCUAGCUGGUCUGAGAGGAUGAUCAGCCACACUGGGACUGAGACACGGCCCAGACUCCUACGGGAGGCAGCAGUGGGGAAUAUUGGACAAUGGGCGCAAGCCUGAUCCAGCCAUGCCGCGUGUGUGAAGAAGGCUUUCGGGUUGUAAAGCACUUUCAUCAGUGAGGAAAGGGUAGUAGUUAAUACCUGCUAUCUGUGACGUUAACUGAAGAAGAAGCACCGGCUAAC
RNAcentral lists this ribosomal RNA (476 nucleotides) under uncultured Thalassolituus sp. Its description in RNAcentral is "bacterial SSU rRNA". It matches the Rfam family "Bacterial small subunit ribosomal RNA", at positions 30 to 501 of the family's 1533-position model. Lineage: Bacteria; Pseudomonadati; Pseudomonadota; Gammaproteobacteria; Oceanospirillales; Oceanospirillaceae. The record is from RNAcentral.